RNAcentral lists this ribosomal RNA (482 nucleotides) under uncultured bacterium. RNAcentral's name for it is "partial 16S ribosomal RNA". It matches the Rfam family "Bacterial small subunit ribosomal RNA", at positions 28 to 507 of the family's 1533-position model. The record is from RNAcentral.
GAUGAACGCUAGCGGCAGGCCUAACACAUGCAAGUCGGACGGGAUUCAGGAGCUUGCUUCUGAUGAGAGUGGCGCACGGGUCCGUAACACGAUAGUAACGUACCCUGAUCACUGGGAUAGCCUCUCGCAAGAGAGAUUAAGCUCGCACAAAAUCUCACCACAGCAUUGUGUAACGGUCAAAUAUUUAUAGGAUACAGAUGGGCAUGCGGAACCUUAGCUAGAUGGCGGGGUGACGGUCCACCCCGGCGACGAUGUUUAGGGGAUCUGAGAGGAUGGCCCCCCACAAUUGGACUGGGGCACGGACCCGGCUCCUAAGGGAGGCAGGAGUAAGGGAUAUUGGUCCAUGGGCGGAAGCCUGAACCAGCCAUGCCGCGUGCAGGAAGGCGGGCCUACGGGUUGUAAACUGCUUUUGUACGGGGAUAAACCCAGGUACGUGUGUCUGGCUGAAUGUACUGUAAGAAUAAGGAUCGGCUAACUACGUG